This 456-nucleotide long non-coding RNA is filed under the name Sus scrofa (pig). Its description in RNAcentral is "lncRNA (ENSSSCG00070006334.1)". Lineage: Eukaryota; Metazoa; Chordata; Mammalia; Artiodactyla; Suidae. The record is from RNAcentral.
CCAAGAUGGCGGCUGCCGGUCCUGGGCUGGUUCUGACACAGGUAGUAAAGGCGGUCAGAUUCUAAAUGUAUUUUCGAAGGCGAGUGCACCACUGGGGUGUGGAAACCAAGUCUCUGAGGAGACAGAUGAGUGGAGUCGACAGCAAGAACACCAAGAAUGUGCUUCACCGACAGGGCUGAACCAGCCAGGGAGAGGCUUGAGCUGAGGUUUGAAGGAGAGCCACUGCGCUGCGCAUCUCUAGGCAGUGAGGCCAGAGCCGUGAUCUGUGGCAGAGGCCCCUGCCAGGCGUUUGCCAACAGGCAGUGGAGGCCACUGGGAUUCUUGGCAAGUGGAACCCCAGAUGCAGCAGAACCCCAUCAUCAGCCUCAGACACAGAGCCGGACGCAGAGCAAGCACUCCCCACUGAGACGAAAGCCAUGCCCUAGAGGUCCCUGCCCGAUGCCCCAGGGGCCCUGA